This 18-nucleotide non-coding RNA is filed under the name Arabidopsis thaliana (thale cress). The record is from RNAcentral. Lineage: Eukaryota; Viridiplantae; Streptophyta; Magnoliopsida; Brassicales; Brassicaceae.
UGAGAGCCCCGUCGUGCC